GAUGAACGCUGGCGGCGUGCUUAACACAUGCAAGUCGAACGGAGUUCUUUGGAUAGAGGUUUCGGCCAAUUGAAAAAGAACUUAGUGGCGGACGGGUGAGUAACGCGUGAGGAACCUGCCUUGGAGUGGGGAAUAACACAGUGAAAAUUGUGCUAAUACCGCAUAAUGCAGUUGAGUCGCAUGGCUCUGACUGCCAAAGAUUUAUCGCUCUAAGAUGGCCUCGCGUCUGAUUAGCUAGUUGGUAGGGUAACGGCCUACCAAGGCGACGAUCAGUAGCCGGACUGAGAGGUUGGCCGGCCACAUUGGGACUGAGACACGGCCCAGACUCCUACGGGAGGCAGCAGUGGGGAAUAUUGGGCAAUGGGCGCAAGCCUGACCCAGCAACGCCGCGUGAAGGAAGAAGGCUUUCGGGUUGUAAACGUUCUUUUAAGUGGGUAAGAGCAGAAGACGGUACCACUUGAAUAAGCCACGGCUAACUACGUGCCAGCAGCCGCGGU
This 497-nucleotide ribosomal RNA is filed under the name uncultured bacterium. Its description in RNAcentral is "bacterial SSU rRNA". It matches the Rfam family "Bacterial small subunit ribosomal RNA", at positions 28 to 521 of the family's 1533-position model. The record is from RNAcentral.